AGACCCGAAACCCGGUGAUCUAGCCAUGGGCAGGUUGAAGGUUGGGUAACACUAACUGGAGGACCGAACCGACUAAUGUUGAAAAAUUAGCGGAUGACUUGUGGCUGGGGGUGAAAGGCCAAUCAAACCGGGAGAUAGCUGGUUCUCCCCGAAAGCUAUUUAGGUAGCGCCUCGUGAAUUCAUCUCCGGGGGUAGAGCACUGUUUCGGCAAGGGGGUCAUCCCGACUUACCAACCCGAUGCAAACUGCGAAUACCGGAGAAUGUUAUCACGGGAGACACACGGCGGGUGCUAACGUCCGUCGUGAAGAGGGAAACAACCCAGACCGCCAGCUAAGGUCCCAAAGUCAUGGUUAAGUGGGAAACGAUGUGGGAAGGCCCAGACAGCCAGGAUGUUGGCUUAGAAGCAGCCAUCAUUUAAAGAAAGCGUAAUAGCUCACUGGUCGAGU
Molecule: ribosomal RNA, 446 nt
Filed under: Escherichia coli
Lineage: Bacteria; Pseudomonadati; Pseudomonadota; Gammaproteobacteria; Enterobacterales; Enterobacteriaceae
Description: partial 23S ribosomal RNA
Rfam family: Bacterial large subunit ribosomal RNA
Source: RNAcentral